GCUGUUCACACCGAUCCUACCCAAUAUUUCAGGUUGAUUUACAAGAUUGAGUCGGGACAGUCUCCAUCGAUUGGUUUGAUGAGUAUCCAGAUAAAAUCUUCUUUCAACAAAUCUUCCCAGCGACAACUCAAACCCAGCUGAAGUUCGCCAUCUCAAGCCCUCACUUGUCGCCCUUCUUCCCUCUUCUCACUUGACCCAUUUUCACGGCACUCAUUUGCUCCCUUCCACACCAUACCUACACCACCCGUUCCUCUAUCGCUGCCGUUGACAGUUCACAAAUCCUCUGUUGCAUGUAAAUUUGCAUUGAAAUUUGGAGCUGUGGUAUGGUAACUCCCAAUUUUGGGUUAAAAUGCUUUAGAUCUCCGCAUUUUCUCUAUUUUUGCUCGAAAUGUCAUCUG
RNAcentral lists this unclassified non-coding RNA (398 nucleotides) under Hevea brasiliensis (rubber tree). The record is from RNAcentral. Lineage: Eukaryota; Viridiplantae; Streptophyta; Magnoliopsida; Malpighiales; Euphorbiaceae.